GGGCGCGUAGCGCAGGGGUAGCGCGUUCGCUUCGCACUGUGAGUUGUAUACGAAAGGCCGUUGGUUCAAUUCCUACCGUGUCCA
Molecule: non-coding RNA, 84 nt
Organism: Mycena crocata
Lineage: Eukaryota; Fungi; Basidiomycota; Agaricomycetes; Agaricales; Mycenaceae
Source: the annotation of a GenBank genome assembly